UAUGGGCGGAGCCUGAUGCAGCACGCCGCGUGAGGGAUGACGGCCUUCGGGUUGUAAACCUCUUUCACCAUUGACGAAGUCUGCUCUUUUGGGGUGGGUGACGGUAGGUGGGGAAGAAGCGCCGGCCAACUACGUGCCAGCAGCCGCGGUAACACGUAGGGCGCGAGCGUUGUCCGGAAUUAUUGGGCGUAAAGGGCUCGUAGGCGGUUUGUUGCGUCGAGAGUGAAAUCCCAUGGCUUAACUGUGGGUCUGCUUUUGAUACGGGCAGGCUAGAGGUAGGUAGGGGAGAGUGGAAUCCCAGGUGUAGCGGUGGAAUGCGCAGAUAUCUGGGGGAACACCGGUGGCGAAGGCGGCUCUCUGGGCCUUACCUGACGCUGAUGAGCGAAAGCGUGGGGAGCGAACAGGAUUAGAUACCCUGGUAGUCCACGCUGUAAACGUUGGGCGCUAGGUGUGGGGGAUUUUCCACGUUUCCCGUGCCGCAGCUAACGCAUUAAGCGCCCCGCCUGGGGAGUACGGCCGCAAGGCUAAAACUCAAAGGAAUUGACGGGGGCCCGCACAAGCGGCGGAGCAUGUUGCUUAAUUCGAGGCGACGCGAAGAACCUUACCUGGGUUUGACAUGUGUGGUAAUCCGGCGGAGAUGCCGGGUCCGUAAGGGCUGCGCACAGGUGGUGCAUGGCUGUCGUCAGCUCGUGUCGUGAGAUGUUGGGUUAAGUCCCGCAACGAGCGCAACCCUCGUCCUAUGUUGCCAGCACGUGGUGGUGGGAACUCAUAGGAGACUGCCGGGGUCAACUCGGAGGAAGGUGGGGAUGAGUCAAGUCAUCAUGCCCUUAUGUCCAGGGCUGCAACAUGCUACAUGUCGUACAAAGGGUGCGAGACCGUGAGGGGAGCGAUCCAAAAGCGCUCAGUCGAUCGGGAUCUGCACUCGACCCGGGAGUGGAGUCCUAGUAUCGCGGAUCAGCCACGCCCGGGUGAACGUCCCGGCCUUGUACAAA
RNAcentral lists this ribosomal RNA (992 nucleotides) under uncultured Acidobacteriaceae bacterium. RNAcentral describes it as "bacterial SSU rRNA". It matches the Rfam family "Bacterial small subunit ribosomal RNA", at positions 370 to 1389 of the family's 1533-position model. Lineage: Bacteria; Pseudomonadati; Acidobacteriota; Terriglobia; Terriglobales; Acidobacteriaceae. The record is from RNAcentral.